GAUCUUUAUUGCUGAUUACAAAGGCAAUACAUGUGUGCUGGACAAAAAGCAAGUCUACCAUAGUCUACACCUACCCAAUCAAGACAAGAAGAAAAUUGCAAAAGCCCAUCAACAAAUGUUGGAAGAAAACACCACAAGUGGAUCGACAGCUGUUUGCCCAAAAUAGUUUAUUCAUCCACCCCAGCUUUGCUGAGUGUCAGCCAAGUGCCAAGCUAUUGGCAUACAUUGGAGAGUCUUCACUGCAUUGU
This is a long non-coding RNA of Molossus molossus (Pallas's mastiff bat), 248 nucleotides long. RefSeq lists it as uncharacterized. Lineage: Eukaryota; Metazoa; Chordata; Mammalia; Chiroptera; Molossidae. The transcript is spliced from 3 exons. The record is from RefSeq and is a predicted model, not a curated record.